AGUACGGUGGUACGGACAUGGCCCACAGAGGGUGAAAGGCCCGUGGGGGUGGAGAUCAGGCAGGCCAGUGCCUCUCUGGGUAGACCUUGGAGUCGGGUUGUUUGUGAAUGCAGCCCAAAGUGGGUGGUAAACUCCAUCCAAGGCUAAAUACUUGCACGAGUCCGAUAGCGAACAAGUACCGUGAGGGAAAGUUGAAAAGUACUUUGAAGAGAGAGUAAACAGUGCGUGAAACCGCUCAGAGGUAAGCGGGUGGAGUUGAACUGCAAGCUUUGAGAAUUCAGCUGGUGAGUAUGGUUUGAGCUUGGUCAAGUUUGGCUGGAUAUUGAGGUCUGCGUAGUGGCAGGUUCUAGUCCCUCGGGGCAGGAUGCGCGAUACACUUAUCAAGUGUUGUGCGCCUCAGUAUUAUUCGGGCCUACUCGCCAGUGCACUUUCUCAGAGUGUUCACCACGACCGGCACUGCUGUCUGGCUGUAGUGGUUAAACCGGGCUUACAUCGUCCUUGUGGCUUUGCAUGUUCGGGAAGGCAGGUGGCACGUUGGCUUGCUUGUAGUUUACUGCAGGCAUUUGGUCUUCGUGUGUAAUCAGCUGACCACAACAGUUCUGUGCAGUGUGUCGGGGCUAGCGGCUUGUGGUACUUGCGUGCGUGCUUGUUCUGCUGGCGAGUCCGGGUUUGGUUAUCAUGUUGCCUGCAAGUGCAGGCCUGGGAAUGGCUCGGAUUCGUCCAGUGGGCGGUUGCGUACGUGGUGC
This 746-nucleotide ribosomal RNA is filed under the name Nanophyetus salmincola. RNAcentral's name for it is "partial large subunit ribosomal RNA". It matches the Rfam family "Eukaryotic large subunit ribosomal RNA", at positions 184 to 606 of the family's 3401-position model. The record is from RNAcentral. Lineage: Eukaryota; Metazoa; Platyhelminthes; Trematoda; Plagiorchiida; Nanophyetidae.